This 253-nucleotide ribosomal RNA is filed under the name uncultured bacterium. RNAcentral's name for it is "partial 16S ribosomal RNA". It matches the Rfam family "Bacterial small subunit ribosomal RNA", at positions 524 to 776 of the family's 1533-position model. The record is from RNAcentral.
UACGUAGGGUGCGAGCGUUAAUCGGAAUUACUGGGCGUAAAGCGUGCGCAGGCGGUUUUAUAAGACAGGUGUGAAAUCCCCGGGCUCACCCUGGGAAUGGCAUUUGUGACUGUAAGACUAGAGUACAAUAGAGGGGGAUGGAAUUCCGCGUGUAGCAGUGAAAUGCGUAGAUAUGCGGAGGAACACCGAUGGCGAAGGCAACCCCCUGGACCGGUACUGACGCUCAUGCACGAAAGCGUGGGGAGCAAACAGG